GCAAGUCUGGUGCCAGCAGCCGCGGUAAUUCCAGCUCCAAUAGCGUAUAUUAAAGUUGUUGCAGUUAAAAAGCUCGUAGUUGAAUUUCGGGAUCAAUAUUUCGGUCAUGCCGUUGGUAUGCACUGUUAUCAUUGAUUUCUCACCUUCUAAAGAACCAUAAUGCCAUUAAUUUGGUGUUACGGGGAAUUAGGACUGUUACCUUGAAAAAAUUAGAGUGUUUAAAGCAGGCUCACGCUUGAAUACAUUAGCAUGGAAUAAUGAAAUAGGACAUCCGAUUCUAUUUUGUUGGUUUCUAGGAUCGAUGUAAUGAUUAAUAGGGAUAGUUGGGGGCAUUAGUAUUCAAUUGUCAGAGGUGAAAUUCUUGGAUUUAUUGAAGACUAACUACUGCGAAAGCAUUUGCCAAGGAUGUUUUCAUUAAUCAAGAACGAAAGUUAGGGGAUCGAAGACGAUCAGAUACCGUCGUAGUCUUAACCAUAAACUAUGCCGACUAGGGAUCGGAUGAUGUUAAUUUUUUAAUGACUCAUUCGGCGCCUUACGGGAAC
RNAcentral lists this ribosomal RNA (542 nucleotides) under uncultured Glomeromycotina. RNAcentral describes it as "SSU rRNA". It matches the Rfam family "Eukaryotic small subunit ribosomal RNA", at positions 555 to 1097 of the family's 1831-position model. The record is from RNAcentral. Lineage: Eukaryota; Fungi; Glomeromycota.